Molecule: ribosomal RNA, 254 nt
Filed under: uncultured bacterium
Lineage: Bacteria
Description: partial 16S ribosomal RNA
Rfam family: Bacterial small subunit ribosomal RNA
Source: RNAcentral
UACGUAGGGUGCGAGCGUUGUCCGGAAUUAUUGGGCGUAAAGAGCUCGUAGGCGGUGUGUCACGUCGGCCGUGAAAACCUGCAGCUUAACUGUGGGCGUGCGGUUGAUACGGGCAUCACUGGAGUUCGGCAGGGGAGACUGGAAUUCCUGGUGUAGCGGUGAAAUGCGCAGAUAUCAGGAGGAACACCGGUGGCGAAGGCGGUGGUCUGGGCCGGCACUGACGCUGAGGAGCGAAAGCGUGGGGAGCAAACAGG